UGGGGAAUUUUGGACAAUGGGGGAAACCCUGAUCCAGCCAUCCCGCGUGUGCGAUGAAGGCCUUCGGGUUGUAAAGCACUUUUGGCAGGAAAGAAACGUCAUGGGUUAAUACCCCGUGAAACUGACGGUACCUGCAGAAUAAGCACCGGCUAACUACGUGCCAGCAGCCGCGGUAAUACGUAGGGUGCAAGCGUUAAUCGGAAUUACUGGGCGUAAAGCGUGCGCAGGCGGUUCGGAAAGAAAGAUGUGAAAUCCCAGAGCUCAACUUUGGAACUGCAUUUUUAACUACCGGGCUAGAGUGUGUCAGAGGGAGAUGGAAUUCCGCGUGUAGCAGUGAAAUGCGUAGAUAUGCGGAGGAACACCGAUGGCGAAGGCAGCCUCCUGGGAUAACACUGACGCUCAUGCACGAAAGCGUGGGGAGCAAACAGG
Molecule: ribosomal RNA, 429 nt
Filed under: Acidobacteriota bacterium
Lineage: Bacteria; Pseudomonadati; Acidobacteriota
Description: Acidobacteria bacterium partial 16S ribosomal RNA
Rfam family: Bacterial small subunit ribosomal RNA
Source: RNAcentral